GGGCUGGUAGCUCAACUGGCAGAGCACCCCUUUCGCACGGGGGAGACUCCGAGUUCGAAUCUCGGCCGGUCCA
Molecule: transfer RNA, 73 nt
Filed under: Gemmatimonadota bacterium
Lineage: Bacteria; Pseudomonadati; Gemmatimonadota
Description: Gemmatimonadetes bacterium (bioreactor metagenome) tRNA-Ala
Rfam family: tRNA
About the family: Transfer RNA (tRNA) molecules are approximately 80 nucleotides in length. Their secondary structure includes four short double-helical elements and three loops (D, anti-codon, and T loops).
Source: RNAcentral